Molecule: ribosomal RNA, 665 nt
Filed under: Kitasatospora sp.
Lineage: Bacteria; Bacillati; Actinomycetota; Actinomycetes; Kitasatosporales; Streptomycetaceae
Description: bacterial SSU rRNA
Rfam family: Bacterial small subunit ribosomal RNA
Source: RNAcentral
CUCUUACGGCGAGGACGAGCGAGUGGGGACUAUUGCCCAAUGGGCGAAAGCCUGAUGCAGGGACGCCGCUUGAGGGAUGACGGCCUUCGGGUUGUAAACCUCUUUCAGCAGGGAAGAAGCGCAAGUGACGGUACCUGCAGAAGAAGCACCGGCUAACUACGUGCCAGCAGCCGCGGUAAUACGUAGGGUGCGAGCGUUGUCCGGAAUUAUUGGGCGUAAAGAGCUCGUAGGCGGCCUGUCGCGUCGGAUGUGAAAGCCCGGGGCUUAACCCCGGGUCUGCAUUCGAUACGGGCAGGCUAGAGUGUGGUAGGGGAGAUCGGAAUUCCUGGUGUAGCGGUGAAAUGCGCAGAUAUCAGGAGGAACACCGGUGGCGAAGGCGGAUCUCUGGGCCAUUACUGACGCUGAGGAGCGAAAGCGUGGGGAGCGAACAGGAUUAGAUACCCUGGUAGUCCACGCCGUAAACGUUGGGAACUAGGUGUUGGCGACAUUCCACGUCGUCGGUGCCGCAGCUAACGCAUUAAGUUCCCCGCCUGGGGAGUACGGCCGCAAGGCUAAAACUCAAAGGAAUUGACGGGGGCCCGCACAAGCAGCGGAGCAUGUGGCUUAAUUCGACGCAACGCGAAGAACCUUACCAAGGCUUGACAUAUGCCGGAAACAUCCCAGAG